GACGAACGCUGGCGGCGUGCUUAACACAUGCAAGUCGAGCGGUAAGGCCCUUUCGGGGUACGACGAGCGGCGAACGGGUAGGAGUAACAACGUGGGUGACCUCGCCCUCCAGCUCUGGGAGUAAGCCUGGGAAACCGGGGUACCUAAUACCGGAUAUGACUCCAUGACGCAUGUUGUGGGGUGGAAAGCCUUGUGCGGCUGAGGAUGGGCCCGGCGGCCUAUCAGCUUGUUGGUGGGGGGAUGGCCUACCAAGGCGACGACGGGUAGGCCGG
RNAcentral lists this ribosomal RNA (272 nucleotides) under uncultured bacterium. RNAcentral describes it as "partial 16S ribosomal RNA". It matches the Rfam family "Bacterial small subunit ribosomal RNA", at positions 28 to 291 of the family's 1533-position model. The record is from RNAcentral.